This is a non-coding RNA of Pelobates cultripes (western spadefoot toad), 216 nucleotides long. Lineage: Eukaryota; Metazoa; Chordata; Amphibia; Anura; Pelobatidae. The record is from the annotation of a GenBank genome assembly.
AAAUAAUAUCAGGAAGUAUUACUUUACUGAGAGGGUAGUGGAUGCAUGGAAUAGCCUUCCAGCUGAAGUGGUAGAGGUUAACACAGUAAAGGAGUUUAAGCAUGCGUGGGAUAGGCAUAAGGCUAUCCUAACUAUAAGAUAAGGCUAGGGACUAAUGAAAGUAUUUAGAAAAUUGGGCAGACUAGAUGGGCCGAAUGGUUCUUAUCUGCCGUCACA